ACUUUUAUACUUGGUGGCAUA
This 21-nucleotide small nuclear RNA is filed under the name Arabidopsis thaliana (thale cress). RNAcentral's name for it is "snRNA_09098". The record is from RNAcentral. Lineage: Eukaryota; Viridiplantae; Streptophyta; Magnoliopsida; Brassicales; Brassicaceae.